ACGUAGGGUGCGAGCGUUAAUCGGAAUUACUGGGCGUAAAGCGUGCGCAGGCGGUUUUGUAAGACAGGCGUGAAAUCCCCGAGCUCAACUUGGGAAUGGCGCUUGUGACUGCAAGGCUAGAGUAUGUCAGAGGGGGGUAGAAUUCCACGUGUAGCAGUGAAAUGCGUAGAGAUGUGGAGGAAUACCGAUGGCGAAGGCAGCCCCCUGGGACGUCACUGACGCUCAUGCACGAAAGCGUGGGGAGCAAACAGGA
This 253-nucleotide ribosomal RNA is filed under the name uncultured prokaryote. Its description in RNAcentral is "partial 16S ribosomal RNA". It matches the Rfam family "Bacterial small subunit ribosomal RNA", at positions 525 to 777 of the family's 1533-position model. The record is from RNAcentral.